RNAcentral lists this ribosomal RNA (215 nucleotides) under Campeiostachys nutans. RNAcentral's name for it is "Elymus nutans partial small subunit ribosomal RNA". The stretch from base 94 to 215 matches the Rfam family "Eukaryotic small subunit ribosomal RNA", at positions 738 to 864 of the family's 1831-position model. The record is from RNAcentral. Lineage: Eukaryota; Viridiplantae; Streptophyta; Magnoliopsida; Poales; Poaceae.
GGCCUGGCUGGACGGUCCGCCCUUCGGGUGAGUACUGUCUGUGGUCGGGUCCUACCUUCUGGCGAAGCGUCAUGGCCUUAACCGGCCGUGGCGGGGAACCAGGACUUUUACUGUGAAAAAUUAGAGUGUUCAAAGCAGGCAAUUCGCUUGGAUACAUUAGCAUGGAAUAAUGGAAUAGGACAAUGGUUCUAUUUGUUGGUUCUGAGACCAAAGUA